GGGUUGUGAGGUUAAGCGACUAAGCGUACACGGUGGAUGCCCUGGCAGUCAGAGGCGAUGAAGGACGUGCUAAUCUGCGAUAAGCGCCGGUAAGGUGAUAUGAACCGUUAUAACCGGCGAUUUCCGAAUGGGGAAACCCAGUGUGACUCGUCACACUAUCAUUAACUGAAUCCAUAGGUUAAUGAGGCGAACCGGGGGAACUGAAACAUCUAAGUACCCCGAGGAAAAGAAAUCAACCGAGAUUCCCCCAGUAGCGGCGAGCGAACGGGGAGGAGCCCAGAGCCUGAAUCAGCAUGUGUGUUAGUGGAAGCGUCUGGAAAGGCGCGCGAUACAGGGUGACAGCCCCGUACACAAAAGCGCAUGUGCUGUGAGCUCGAUGAGUAGGGCGGGACACGUGGUAUCCUGUCUGAAUAUGGGGGGACCAUCCUCCAAGGCUAAAUACUCCUGACUGACCGAUAGUGAACCAGUACCGUGAGGGAAAGGCGAAAAGAACCCCGGCGAGGGGAGUGAAAAAGAACCUGAAACCGUGUACGUACAAGCAGUGGGAGCCCCACCACCAAAGCAUUCUCUGGUGUUGAAGGCCCUGCAAAGCAGCAUCGCGGUGGCGGAGCGUCGUUUGCGACGCCCAACACACAAAACAAGCGGUGAGUGCUUUGGGGUGGGGUGACUGCGUACCUUUUGUAUAAUGGGUCAGCGACUUAUAUUCUGUAGCAAGGUUAACCGAAUAGGGGAGCCGUAGGGAAACCGAGUCUUAACCGGGCGUUAAGUUGCAGGGUAUAGACCCGAAACCCGGUGAUCUAGCCAUGGGCAGGUUGAAGGUUGGGUAACACUAACUGGAGGACCGAACCGACUAAUGUUGAAAAAUUAGCGGAUGACCUGUGGCUGGGGGUGAAAGGCCAAUCAAACCGGGAGAUAGCUGGUUCUCCCCGAAAGCUAUUUAGGUAGCGCCUCGUGAAUUCAUCUCCGGGGUAGAGCACUGUUUCGGCUAGGGGGCCAUCCCGGCUUACCAACCCGAUGCAAACUGCGAAUACCGGAGAAUGUUAUCACGGGAGACACACGGCGGGUGCUAACGUCCGUCGUGAAGAGGGAAACAACCCAGACCGCCAGCUAAGGUCCCAAAGUCAUGGUUAAGUGGGAAACGAUGUGGGAAGGCCCAGACAGCCAGGAUGUUGGCUUAGAAGCAGCCAUCAUUUAAAGAAAGCGUAAUAGCUCACUGGUCGAGUCGGCCUGCGCGGAAGAUGUAACGGGGCUAAACCAUGCACCGAAGCUGCGGCAGCGACGCUGAUGCGUUGUUGGGUAGGGGAGCGUUCUGUAAGCCUGCGAAGGUGGCCUGUGAGGGUUGCUGGAGGUAUCAGAAGUGCGAAUGCUGACAUAAGUAACGAUAAAGCGGGUGAAAAGCCCGCUCGCCGGAAGACCAAGGGUUCCUGUCCAACGUUAAUCGGGGCAGGGUGAGUCGACCCCUAAGGCGAGGCCGAAAGGCGUAGUCGAUGGGAAACGGGUUAAUAUUCCCGUACUUGGUGUUACUGCGAAGGGGGACGGAGAAGGCUAUGUUGGCCGGGCGACGGUUGUCCCGGUUUAAGCGUGUAGGUGUGUGUUCCAGGUAAAUCCGGUUCACUUUAACACUGAGGCGUGAUGACGAGGCACUACGGUGCUGAAGCAACAAAUGCCCUGCUUCCAGGAAAAGCCUCUAAGCAUCAGGUAACAUCAAAUCGUACCCCAAACCGACACAGGUGGUCAGGUAGAGAAUACCAAGGCGCUUGAGAGAACUCGGGUGAAGGAACUAGGCAAAAUGGUGCCGUAACUUCGGGAGAAGGCACGCUGACACGUAGGUGAAGUGAUUUACUCAUGGAGCUGAAGUCAGUCGAAGAUACCAGCUGGCUGCAACUGUUUAUUAAAAACACAGCACUGUGCAAACACGAAAGUGGACGUAUACGGUGUGACGCCUGCCCGGUGCCGGAAGGUUAAUUGAUGGGGUCAGCGCAAGCGAAGCUCCUGAUCGAAGCCCCGGUAAACGGCGGCCGUAACUAUAACGGUCCUAAGGUAGCGAAAUUCCUUGUCGGGUAAGUUCCGACCUGCACGAAUGGCGUAAUGAUGGCCAGGCUGUCUCCACCCGAGACUCAGUGAAAUUGAACUCGCUGUGAAGAUGCAGUGUACCCGCGGCAAGACGGAAAGACCCCGUGAACCUUUACUAUAGCUUGACACUGAACAUUGAGCCUUGAUGUGUAGGAUAGGUGGGAGGCUUUGAAGUGUGGACGCCAGUCUGCAUGGAGCCGACCUUGAAAUACCACCCUUUAAUGUUUGAUGUUCUAACGUGGACCCGUGAUCCGGGUUGCGGACAGUGUCUGGUGGGUAGUUUGACUGGGGCGGUCUCCUCCUAAAGAGUAACGGAGGAGCACGAAGGUUGGCUAAUCCUGGUCGGACAUCAGGAGGUUAGUGCAAUGGCAUAAGCCAGCUUGACUGCGAGCGUGACGGCGCGAGCAGGUGCGAAAGCAGGUCAUAGUGAUCCGGUGGUUCUGAAUGGAAGGGCCAUCGCUCAACGGAUAAAAGGUACUCCGGGGAUAACAGGCUGAUACCGCCCAAGAGUUCAUAUCGACGGCGGUGUUUGGCACCUCGAUGUCGGCUCAUCACAUCCUGGGGCUGAAGUAGGUCCCAAGGGUAUGGCUGUUCGCCAUUUAAAGUGGUACGCGAGCUGGGUUUAGAACGUCGUGAGACAGUUCGGUCCCUAUCUGCCGUGGGCGCUGGAGAACUGAGGGGGGCUGCUCCUAGUACGAGAGGACCGGAGUGGACGCAUCACUGGUGUUCGGGUUGUCAUGCCAAUGGCACUGCCCGGUAGCUAAAUGCGGAAGAGAUAAGUGCUGAAAGCAUCUAAGCACGAAACUUGCCCCGAGAUGAGUUCUCCCUGAGACUUUAGGUCUCCUGAAGGAACGUUGAAGACGACGACGUUGAUAGGCCGGGUGUGUAAGCGCAGCGAUGCGUUGAGCUAACCGGUACUAAUGAACCGUGAGGCUUAACCUUACAACGCCGAAG
Molecule: ribosomal RNA, 3027 nt
Filed under: Salmonella enterica
Lineage: Bacteria; Pseudomonadati; Pseudomonadota; Gammaproteobacteria; Enterobacterales; Enterobacteriaceae
Also listed under: 1 other name
Description: bacterial LSU rRNA
Rfam family: Bacterial large subunit ribosomal RNA
Source: RNAcentral